Molecule: ribosomal RNA, 628 nt
Filed under: Hydnum orientalbidum
Lineage: Eukaryota; Fungi; Basidiomycota; Agaricomycetes; Cantharellales; Hydnaceae
Description: partial large subunit ribosomal RNA
Rfam family: Eukaryotic large subunit ribosomal RNA
Source: RNAcentral
UCCCCUAGUAACGGCGAGUGAAGUGGGAUGAGCUCAAAUUUAAAAUCUGGUAGUCUUUGGCUGCCUGAGUUGUAAUCUAGAGAAGUGUUUUCUGUGCUGGACUGUGUUCAAGUUUCCUGGAUAUGGAACAUCAUAGAGGGUGAGAAUCCCGUCCUUGACACAGAUUCCCCAGUGCUCUGUGAUGCACUCUCAACGAGUCGAGUUGUUUGGGAUUGCAGCUCAAAAUGGGAGGUAAAUUCCUUCUAAAGCUAAAUAUUGGCGAGAGACCGAUAGCGAACAAGUACCGUGAGGGAAAGAUGAAAAGCACUUUGGAAAGAGAGUUAAACAGUACGUGAAAUUGUUAAAAGGGAAACAAUUGAAGUCAGUCGCAUCUACUUGGACUCAACCUUACUUUGGUUUGGUGCAUUUCCUUGUUGGAUGGGCCAGUGUUCAUGUUAAUUGCUGGAAAAGGGGCUAGGGAAUGUGGCUCUUUUGGGAGUGUUAUAGCCUUGGCUCAUAUACAGUGAUUAAUAUGGAGUGGUACAGCAUGCUUCGGUGGUGCUUGUGCUGGCAUAAUGGCUUUAAAUGACCCGUCUUGAAACACGGACCAAGGAGUCUAACAUGUCUGCAAGUAUUUGGGUGAUAAACC